RNAcentral lists this ribosomal RNA (869 nucleotides) under Enterococcus faecium. RNAcentral's name for it is "bacterial SSU rRNA". It matches the Rfam family "Bacterial small subunit ribosomal RNA", at positions 26 to 865 of the family's 1533-position model. The record is from RNAcentral. Lineage: Bacteria; Bacillati; Bacillota; Bacilli; Lactobacillales; Enterococcaceae.
AGGACGAACGCUGGCGGCGUGCCUAAUACAUGCAAGUCGAACGCUUCUUUUUCCACCGGAGCUUGCUCCACCGGAAAAAGAGGAGUGGCGAACGGGUGAGUAACACGUGGGUAACCUGCCCAUCAGAAGGGGAUAACACUUGGAAACAGGUGCUAAUACCGUAUAACAAUCAAAACCGCAUGGUUUUGAUUUGAAAGGCGCUUUCGGGUGUCGCUGAUGGAUGGACCCGCGGUGCAUUAGCUAGUUGGUGAGGUAACGGCUCACCAAGGCCACGAUGCAUAGCCGACCUGAGAGGGUGAUCGGCCACAUUGGGACUGAGACACGGCCCAAACUCCUACGGGAGGCAGCAGUAGGGAAUCUUCGGCAAUGGACGAAAGUCUGACCGAGCAACGCCGCGUGAGUGAAGAAGGUUUUCGGAUCGUAAAACUCUGUUGUUAGAGAAGAACAAGGAUGAGAGUAACUGUUCAUCCCUUGACGGUAUCUAACCAGAAAGCCACGGCUAACUACGUGCCAGCAGCCGCGGUAAUACGUAGGUGGCAAGCGUUGUCCGGAUUUAUUGGGCGUAAAGCGAGCGCAGGCGGUUUCUUAAGUCUGAUGUGAAAGCCCCCGGCUCAACCGGGGAGGGUCAUUGGAAACUGGGAGACUUGAGUGCAGAAGAGGAGAGUGGAAUUCCAUGUGUAGCGGUGAAAUGCGUAGAUAUAUGGAGGAACACCAGUGGCGAAGGCGGCUCUCUGGUCUGUAACUGACGCUGAGGCUCGAAAGCGUGGGGAGCAAACAGGAUUAGAUACCCUGGUAGUCCACGCCGUAAACGAUGAGUGCUAAGUGUUGGAGGGUUUCCGCCCUUCAGUGCUGCAGCUAACGCAUUAAGC